ACUGUUCGCUUGCCAGCGUUCAGCCGGAUGUACCCGAUGAUCUUCACCGGUUGUCUCGUGCGUCCGGCAAGUUUACUUUGAAAAAAUUAGAGUGCUCAAAGCAGGCGCGACGCCCGAAUAAUUGUGCAUGGAAUAAUGGAAUAGGACCUCGGUUCUAUUUUGUUGGUUUUCGGAACACGAGGUAAUGAUUAAGAGGGACAGACGGGGGCAUUCGUAUUGCGACGCUAGAGGUGAAAUUCUUGGACCGUCGCAAGACGAACUACUGCGAAAGCAUUUGCCAAGAAUGUUUCCAUUAAUCAAGAACGAAAGUUAGAGGUUCGAAGACGAUCAGAUACCGUCCUAGUUCUAACCAUAAACGAUGCCAGCCAGCGAUCCGGCUGUGUUCCUCAAAUGACACGCCGGGCAGCUUCCGGGAAACCAAAGCUUUUGGGUUCCGGGGGAAGUAUGGUUGCAAAGCUGAAACUUAAAGGAAUUGACGGAAGGGCACCACCAGGAAUGGAGCCUGCGGCUUAAUUUGACUCAACACGGGAAAACCUACCCGGUCCGGACACAGGAAGGAUUGACAGAUUAAGAGCUCUUUCUUGAUUCUGUGGGUGGUGGUGCAUGGCCGUUCUUAGUUGGUGGGUCGACUUGUCUGGUUAAUUCCGAUAACGAACGAGACUCUAGCCUACUAAAUAGACGUUCCGAUCCUCUUUCGUCGGACGUUCUUCUUAGAGGGACAAGCGGCGUCUAGCCGCACGAGACAGAGCAAUAACAGGUCUGAGAUGCCCUUAGAUGUCCGGGGCCGCACGCGCGCUACAUUGAAGGAAUCAGCGUGUGCUCUCCCUGUCCGAGAGGACUGGGUAACCCGUUGAACCUCCUUCGUGCUGGGGAUUGGAUUUUGUAAUUAGUUCCAUGAACGAGGAAUUCCCAGUAAGCACGAGUCAUUAGCUCGUGUUGAUUACGUCCC
This 949-nucleotide ribosomal RNA is filed under the name Ocrepeira darlingtoni. RNAcentral describes it as "SSU rRNA". It matches the Rfam family "Eukaryotic small subunit ribosomal RNA", at positions 680 to 1653 of the family's 1831-position model. The record is from RNAcentral. Lineage: Eukaryota; Metazoa; Arthropoda; Arachnida; Araneae; Araneidae.